CAGUUAUGCUUGUCCCCCAAGAUAAAGGAAGGCUUGAAAAUGAGUAACAAAAGUUUCUUUACAGAGGCUUUAAAUUACUUGGGAUUUUAUAUUUAAAUGAUUCUCCAGUAGAAAAGUUAUAAAAUGAGACAGGGGAACUGAUCUACUGAAGAUACGUUGGUUGUACAAACAUGGGAUUAAAAAGCCUCCCAUCAUCGAUUGGCAAUCUUCACACUUUACAAACUCUAUUUUUAACUUGUGUUUAUCACAUCAAAAUAUCCAGCACAAUUGGAAGAUGCACCAGUUAAGACAUUUCCAUAUGGAGCACACCUGGACUUCUUUGGGAGGGUAUCUCAUCUAAAGGUGUCCACAACUUGACUAGACAAGUAACCUCAAGACUGUAACAUAUGUAAGAGCUGGCAAUUGAAUCUAUGGUUGCUUAGCAAAGCUGACUAAUUUUAGAAAAUUAGGAAUACAUUUAAGAGUCGGAAGUGUAUGUUGAGGUGGUGUAUGAAUCAAUUGUCAAAUUGGACUGCCUCCAGUCUUUGUUUGUGUCAUCAGGAGUCAACCCACAGAGAAUUCCAACAUCGGUGACCCAUCCACAUCUUCUCAAGUUUUUUAAGUUGUAUUUGUGCGGAAGUUAGAGAAGCUACCCGAGUGUUGUAAAUUCCCAACAAACCUCACCUACCCUACCCUAGAAUGGCUCAGGGAUCCACCAAUGCUUUGACCAGAGAGUUUUUAUACACAAAAGAUUGAAGGAUAGUGAUUGAAGGAUUAGGAGCUUCAAUCUGUACGAAUUUUGGAGCAUCUUCCAUCCAAGGGAGGGUCUAACAGACCAAUAGUUUGGAUCUUCCAACUGCAGCCCCAGCUGUACAGACUGUGACACCUGGACAUUUACACCCACCUGUUUUAUUCUUAAUAUCAUUAUGACAGACGCAAGUGAAGCACCUGGACAGAUAAGGAAAAUGGUGGCAUGGGAAUCUAUUACCUUUGGUGGUUUCUUUCCUCACUUCCUAUAUUGUAAUGAAGGCGGCUCAAGAGAAACAAACAGUCUGAUCUGGUGAUUGUGGGAAGAAUUAAGGAUAAUCUUAUCCUCGGGCCAGUCAAGCACAGAGUUUUUCAAAGGGCUUUCCCUGGCAUCUCUAUGUGGCAUAUGGAGUGAGAUUUUGUGGUCCAAGUUAAUGUCUCUUUGAGAUGAUCUGGACAGCCUGAUCUAGAGGCUGGCCACUGGUUCUUCAAAUUCGACGGUGAUCGUUGCAUAAGGAUUUUGAUGACAUUCCAAAUUCUAGCAUGAGGAUGUAUGUAUGUGUGUAUUUUCUUUUUUCCCUUAACAAUCUUUUGAUAUGUUACCCUGUGCCAUCUCAGGACAUCAUACAUUCAGUAGUUUUCACAGGGGUUUCAUGUAAUAUUCUUAUUGAGAGUUCAAAUGGAAGAAAUUUUUCUGUGUUUUUUUUUUUUCCUCCCACGGACCACUCUUUCCUCUAAUGUUUUAUAAAAUGCAUGAUAGAGAGUU
Magnolia sinica is the source of this 1492-nucleotide long non-coding RNA. RefSeq lists it as uncharacterized. The transcript has 4 exons. The record is from RefSeq and is a predicted model, not a curated record. NCBI's taxonomy places the organism in Eukaryota, Viridiplantae, Streptophyta, Magnoliopsida, Magnoliales, Magnoliaceae.